GGCUCAGUGGUCUAGAGGUUAAGCGUUCGCGCGUGAGGCAGAAGGCCCUGGGUUCGAAUCCCUCGAGCGGGGUC
Molecule: transfer RNA, 74 nt
Filed under: Schistosoma mansoni
Lineage: Eukaryota; Metazoa; Platyhelminthes; Trematoda; Strigeidida; Schistosomatidae
Source: RNAcentral